UACGUAGGGUGCAAGCGUUAAUCGGAAUUACUGGGCGUAAAGCGUGCGCAGGCGGCUAUGCAAGACAGAUGUGAAAUCCCCCGGGCUUAACCUGGGAACUGCAUUUGUGACUGCAUGGCUAGAGUGCGGCAGAGGGGGAUGGAAUUCCGCGUGUAGCAGUGAAAUGCGUAGAUAUGCGGAGGAACACCGAUGGCGAAGGCAAUCCCCCUGGGCCUGCACUGACGCUCAUGCACGAAAGCGUGGGGAGCAAACAGG
RNAcentral lists this ribosomal RNA (255 nucleotides) under uncultured bacterium. RNAcentral describes it as "partial 16S ribosomal RNA". It matches the Rfam family "Bacterial small subunit ribosomal RNA", at positions 524 to 776 of the family's 1533-position model. The record is from RNAcentral.